RNAcentral lists this ribosomal RNA (446 nucleotides) under uncultured bacterium. RNAcentral's name for it is "bacterial SSU rRNA". It matches the Rfam family "Bacterial small subunit ribosomal RNA", at positions 217 to 662 of the family's 1533-position model. The record is from RNAcentral.
GGUAUGGGAUGAGCUUGCGUCCGAUUAGCUAGUUGGCGGGGCAACGGCCCACCAAGGCGACGAUCGGUAGCCGGCCUGAGAGGGUGAUCGGCCACAUUGGGACUGAGAUACGGCCCAGACUCCUACGGGAGGCAGCAGUAGGGAAUAUUGCACAAUGGGGGGAACCCUGAUGCAGCAACGUCACGUGUGGGAAUAAGCAUUUCGGUGUGUAAACCACUGUCGUGAGGGAAUAAGGCCUGUUCUAGGACAGGAUUGAAUGUACCUCGAAAGGAAGCACCGGCAAACUUCGUGCCAGCAGCCGCGGUAAUACGAGGGGUGCAAGCGUUGUUCGGAAUCACUGGGCGUAAAGGGAGCGUAGGCGGAGAUUCAAGCGGAUUGUACAAUCCCGGGGCCCAACCCCGGACCUGCAGUCCGAACUGGAUCUCUUGGAUAGUUCAGGGGCAGGC